Long non-coding RNA from Triticum aestivum (bread wheat), 2514 nucleotides. RefSeq lists it as uncharacterized. The record is from RefSeq and is a predicted model, not a curated record. The transcript is spliced from 4 exons. NCBI's taxonomy places the organism in Eukaryota, Viridiplantae, Streptophyta, Magnoliopsida, Poales, Poaceae.
UUGGCCGUCAGGCGGAAAAAUAGCACGGCGGCCUGUUCUCUCCUCUACGUACGCACAACAUCACGGGGUCUUCUUCCUGGGGACGGGACGGCACAGCACCGCCGCCAUGAAUCCCGCCUCCACACGCGGCUCGUCUACCUCUCCAGCUACCCUCUAGCAGCGCCGCUGUUGCCCUGUUCCUCCCUUCCUCACCCGCCCAACUCCUCACCCUUGCCUCCUUUUCGUCCAGGCGGACGUCUCCGAUUUGGAUAGGAUUCGAUGGCGUGUUCAUGCCACCACGCGCGGCCGGUCUUCCUCUCCAGCUACCGUCCAGCGGCACCGUCGUUUUCCUGUUCUUCCCCUCCUCACCCGCCCCAACUCCUCACCCCCAGCCUCCUCCGCCUCGAGGCUGACGUCUCCGAUUUGGAUCUUAAGUACUGGCUCCCCGACACCUCCAUCCCCUUCUCUUCCAUGGAUUUGGAUGCUUGCAGAUUUGGAUUGGAGUGCAACUGAGAUGAGGAAGGACAAAUCAUGAACAGCUCAAGUGAGAGCGAAUGGAUAUGAACACCACAACCCUCUCAGGGGAUGUUGGCUGAUCGGGAUACCCAAUACUCAAACAAGCAUGCUGAGAUGCUCUAGAUAUGGAAGUUUACCCCCAAGCUUGACCACCAAGUUUUUUUGGUUCAUGUUCAAUGGGAGGUGAAGAGUGUCGAGCGGUUAUCUGAUGCAGGUCCAAGGUAAACUCUAUUUUGCUUCUUUUAUUGUGUUUAGAUGAACAUGUCAAAGAUGCAGAUGGACAUGAUGAAGCCGUGAAUUGUCACAAAGGUCAUCGAGCUUCUUGGGUUCGACAAACUACCUAACUGCUAUUAACCUAAAUUUAGUUUCAUCUGAACUAAGAGGACCACCUGUGCUUCCUCUAACAGAAUUACUCAUUUGGUGUUCUUUUGCACUGUUUAUUUUUGUUCAAAUUGGUGUGAGUGCGACCUCUUUGUCAAUUUAGAUAAGCCUUUCUGUAUCACAUGGAUGUGACCUAUAGUAUGGUGUAGAAAAGUGAUGAAAGGUAUUCGUUGGAAUUAAUUUGGCAGCAAUAGUUUAUCAAGUUUUUGCCUAGCUAGCUAUUUCUAGAAUUUCUGCAGUUGUACUUUUCUGCCAUCUCCCUCAUGUAGAUAUAUAUAUAUAUAUACUAGCAGACUAGCAAGUAAAUUAUUUACAUCAAAACUGAGAUGUAUCUAUUUAUGAUGAAGGCAUUUUUUCUUUAUAUUCAGCAGUACCUCUUGCUGCUAUAAAGAAAGUAGGAACAUGGUUGAUAAAUAAUCAGAUUGUUCUGCCCAUUUUUCAUUUCACAAUCCAUUACAACUACUAUGUCCUUGCAAUCAUACCAUUACACAUAAGCUACCCAGAUUUGGAACCCAACCAAAGAACAAUCAAGUUUGAUUCGUGCUGUUAUUGGGCCUUGCUGCGACGCUGAUACUUUUGGGCAAAGUUGUGCAGAAUCUACUCAUGCUUAUAAAACAAGUUUGUUAACAUAUUAAAUAGUCCCACCUUGCUUCUUACAUCUAAUUCUAUCAAGUUAAAAAAACUAAUUCUAUCAAUUUAUAUAUGCCUGUAAGUAUGAGAACUAACAAGCAGCCUGAGAAUAGUAUUGUAUUUAGUUUUCUGGAAGGAUGCAAAAGUAAUAUUGGGUUUCCUGUGUAUACUGAUUGCUAAAGGAUGCAAUAGUAUUUGUAUGCUGGGGAAGUGUCAUUCCCUCUGUUUACUGAUGGGCCUCACCCUCUUAAGAGAUCUAACCCUUGUCACUGUCAGGAAAAAAGCAAAGAGUAUUAUGACGCCAUAAAGUUUGAAUUCAGAUAAGUAUAUGCUGAAGAACACCAGAAUUAGUCUUCAUGAACCAGCGUCGCCUUGUUGAUGAUGCUUCACAUAGCGCUCACAAAUUAAACAACCUAUGAAAUUGCCAGAAGGGACCAGAUAUCCUUCUUGUAUGUGCAGAGGAAUUUCGGACAGGCUUCGUCAAUUCAGUAAAGGCUUAUGUAGAAACAUCUAUGACUUCACUGGAGAGUGGAUUUGCAUUCGAGGAGCAGCUUGAGCAGCUUUGCGCACAUGCCUAGACCUACUUUCAUGUCGGUGCUGUUGACAUGUGUUGUUCUAUGUCAGUCUUUACCUCUAGCGUGUGAUAUAAUCCAUUUUCAAACUUUUUCUAAUAGAUGUUCAUUGAACUUAUUGUCAUAUAAAAGCGCAUGUACAUUCUCAGCAAAAACAAGAAAGUGUGUGUGCCCGACCUUCUCCCAGUCCGACCUUGACCAGGAAGCACGUCAAACAAAAACGCCAAUCUUUAGACCAGCAUUAAGCCCCUAGAAAUAGUCUAUCACGUGUAUCUUUGCAUAUCACUGAGAUGGAGCCAGAAGAUAGUUUUUUAUCAGUUUAUAUCAUUGUUGUGUAGAGAUAGAAAUAUUCAGAUUAGCAAACAUUUAGCUUAAGGUGGGACUGGUACCCAAUUACUCUUGGUCUCACUAUUUGAUAUUUUUGCUGGACACUUUA